RNAcentral lists this ribosomal RNA (355 nucleotides) under uncultured bacterium. Its description in RNAcentral is "bacterial SSU rRNA". It matches the Rfam family "Bacterial small subunit ribosomal RNA", at positions 29 to 412 of the family's 1533-position model. The record is from RNAcentral.
AGCGAACGCUGGCGGCAGGCCUAAACAUGCAAGUCGAACGCCGUAGCAAUACGGAGUGGCAGACGGGUGAGUAACACGUGGGAACGUACCCUUGGUUCGGAACAACACAGGGAAACUUGUGCUAAUACCGGAUAAGCCCUUACGGGGAAAGAUUUAUCGCCGAAGGAUCGGCCCGCGUCUGAUUAGCUAGUUGGUGAGGUAACGGCUCACCAAGGCGACGAUCAGUAGCUGGUCUGAGAGGAUGAUCAGCCACACUGGGGACUGAGACACGGCCCAGACUCCUACGGGAGGCAGCAGUUAGGAAUCUUGGACAAUGGGCGCAAGCCUGAUCCAGCCAUGCCGCGUGAGUGAUGAA